Molecule: ribosomal RNA, 305 nt
Filed under: uncultured archaeon
Lineage: Archaea
Description: bacterial SSU rRNA
Rfam family: Archaeal small subunit ribosomal RNA
Source: RNAcentral
AGUCAGGCAACGAGCGAGACCCGCGUCCUCUGUUGCAACUAGCUUUGAGCUGGGCACACUGAGGAGACCGCCACUGAUAAAGUGGAGGAAGGAGCGGGCCACGGCAGGUCAGUAUGCCCCGAAUCUCCCGGGCCACACGCGAGCUGCAAUGGCAGGUACAAUGGGUUCCGACCUCGAAAGGGGAAGGCAAUCUCGAAAGCCUGCCGUAGUUGGGAUCGAGGGCUGCAACCCGCCCUCGUGAACAUGGAAUCCCUAGUAAUCGCGUGUCAUUAGCGCGCGGUGAAUACGUCCCUGCUCCUUGCACA